AACGAACGCUGGCGGCAUGCCUAACACAUGCAAGUCGAACGAGACCUUCGGGUCUAGUGGCGCACGGGUGCGUAACGCGUGGGAACCUGCCCUUAGGUUCGGAAUAACUCCCCGAAAGGGGUGCUAAUACCGGAUAAUGUCUUCGGACCAAAGAUUUAUCGCCUUUGGAUGGGCCCGCGUUUGAUUAGCUAGUUGGUAGGGUAAAAGCCUACCAAGGCGACGAUCCAUAGCUGGUCUGAGAGGAUGAUCAGCCACACUGGGACUGAGACACGGCCCAGACUCCUACGGGAGGCAGCAGUGGGGAAUCUUGGACAAUGGGCGAAAGCCUGAUCCAGCAAUGCCGCGUGAGUGAUGAAGGCCUUAGGGUUGUAAAGCUCUUUUACCCGGGAUGAUAAUGACAGUACCGGGAGAAUAAGCUCCGGCUAACUCCGUG
This 433-nucleotide ribosomal RNA is filed under the name uncultured bacterium. Its description in RNAcentral is "partial 16S ribosomal RNA". It matches the Rfam family "Bacterial small subunit ribosomal RNA", at positions 29 to 507 of the family's 1533-position model. The record is from RNAcentral.